AACAGGCAGGUGGAGUUCAGCCCAGGGAAGGCACCAGUGUUGCUGGUAGGAAGAGCUGAGGAGCUGGCCGAGACCCUGAAAGUAUCCGUCCGCAGCUGUGAGAGCAGGGUGUCGCCGUGAGUUAGACUCAGCUGUGCUCCUCAGUACACAGCAGAUGAAGUGCUGAAUCCACAGAGGGAAGCAUGAUCCACUGAUGAGGAAGGUACCAGUUUUGCAGUUACCUUUCAGAGUAGAACCACACUAUAAGCUUUGUGCAACUGGAACGCAUAGAGCUGCUGUGGAUGAAGCACAUUAGGACCAACAUAUUGUAAUGCACAGCGGUGAAGUCAUUAUAAUGAACCAAUUGCUCAGGCCACUUUUCUCAUGGAUUUGUUGGAUUUUGGGUUGUUAUAUUAAAGUGAAGAUGUGAGAAUUCUAAA
Long non-coding RNA from Mauremys reevesii (Reeves's turtle), 419 nucleotides. RefSeq lists it as uncharacterized. Lineage: Eukaryota; Metazoa; Chordata; Testudines; Geoemydidae. The transcript is spliced from 2 exons. The record is from RefSeq and is a predicted model, not a curated record.